AGAUUGAACGCUGGCGGCAUGCCUUACACAUGCAAGUCGAACGGCAGCGCGGGAGCAAUCCUGGCGGCGAGUGGCGAACGGGUGAGUAAUAUAUCGGAACGUGCCCUGGAGUGGGGGAUAACGCGAGCGAAAGUUGCGCUAAUACCGCAUACGAUCUACGGAUGAAG
This 167-nucleotide ribosomal RNA is filed under the name uncultured soil bacterium. RNAcentral's name for it is "partial 16S ribosomal RNA". It matches the Rfam family "Bacterial small subunit ribosomal RNA", at positions 26 to 191 of the family's 1533-position model. The record is from RNAcentral.